UACGUAGGGGGCAAGCGUUGUCCGGAUUUAUUGGGCGUAAAGAGCGUGUAGGCGGCCAGGUAGGUCCGCUGUGAAAACUCGAGGCUCAACCUCGAGAGGUCGGUGGAAACCGUAUGGCUAGAGUCCGGAAGAGGAGAGUGGAAUUCCCGGUGUAGCGGUGAAAUGCGCAGAUAUCGGGAAGAACACCCGUGGCGAAGGCGGCUCUCUGGGACGGUACUGACGCUGAGACGCGAAAGCGUGGGGAGCGAACAGG
RNAcentral lists this ribosomal RNA (253 nucleotides) under uncultured bacterium. RNAcentral's name for it is "partial 16S ribosomal RNA". It matches the Rfam family "Bacterial small subunit ribosomal RNA", at positions 524 to 776 of the family's 1533-position model. The record is from RNAcentral.